AGAGUUUGAUCCUGGCUCAGAACGAACGCUGGCGGCGUGUUUAAGACAUGCAAGUCGCACGGGAUUGGUUGAGUAGUAAUACGAGAUCAGUCUAGUGGCGCACGGGUGAGUAACAUGUGAAUUACAUGCCCUUCAGUGGGGAAUAGCCCAGGGNAAACUUGGAUUAAUACCCCAUGGUAUCGCAAGAUUAAAGGUGGCCGCAAGGCUGUCGCUGAAGGAUUGGUUCGCACCCUAUCAGCUUGUUGGCGGGGUAAUGGCCCACCAAGGCUACGACGGGUACCUGGUUCUGAGAGGACGAUCAGGCACACUGGAACUGAGACACGGUCCAGACACCUACGGGUGGCAGCAGUCGAGAAUAAUUCACAAUGGGGGCAACCCUGAUGGUGCAACGCCGCGUGGAGGAUGACGGUCUUCGGAUUGUAAACUCCUGUCAUCUGGGAGUAAGACCUGGGAGUUAAUAGCUCACAGGGUUGAUAGUACCAGAAGAGGAAGGGACGGCUAACUUCGUGCCAGCAGCCGCGGUAAUACGAAGGUCCCAAGCGUUGUUCGGAAUCACUGGGNCGUAAAGGGAGCGUAGGCGGCGUGGUAAGUCAGAUGUGAAAUCCCGGGGCUCAACCCCGGAACUGCAUCCGAUACUGCCAUGCUANAGGAUUGGAGAGGUAGCUGGAAUUCUUGGUGUANCAGUGAAAUGCGUANAGAUCAAGAGGA
Molecule: ribosomal RNA, 708 nt
Filed under: uncultured bacterium
Lineage: Bacteria
Description: bacterial SSU rRNA
Rfam family: Bacterial small subunit ribosomal RNA
Source: RNAcentral